This 73-nucleotide transfer RNA is filed under the name Salmo salar (Atlantic salmon). It matches the Rfam family "tRNA". From Rfam's summary of the family: Transfer RNA (tRNA) molecules are approximately 80 nucleotides in length. Their secondary structure includes four short double-helical elements and three loops (D, anti-codon, and T loops). The record is from Rfam by way of RNAcentral. Lineage: Eukaryota; Metazoa; Chordata; Actinopteri; Salmoniformes; Salmonidae.
GUCCCUGUGGCUCAGUUGGUAAAGCAUGGUGUUUGCAACGCCAGGGUUGUGGGUUCGAUUCCCACGGGGGACC